GUCUAUGUUUACAGAGAAGCACAGUAUCUCAGACAGUUUAGACACAAAAUCACAAGGUUGUGAGCUCAAAUCCCAGCACUACCAAGCUGUUAGUGCUGGGCCUGUGAGCAAGGUCCACAACACUCACCAGCUCAGUUGUAUACAUGAGAUAAAUGUAAGUCGCUCUGAAUCAGGGCAUCUACCAAAUGCUACUAGCACUUUUAGAUAAUAAAAAAAAAGACAGGACCGACUUCAAAAUAGAGUAUGUACAUGAUUCCCAAUUACAACUGUAUUUACUUUCCAUGUUUUCCCACAUGACAUGACUUAUGAAAGGUCAUGUCAUGAGUGAAAGUAAGAGAACCUCUCACCUGCUUAAAACAGGACGCGCCUGUAAGUACAGGAAAAACCUGUAAGUAACUGCUGGCAUGGCCCUCAUUAUCAAGUACAAGGUUUUCUACAUGAAGAUCACUGCACAAAAGGAUAUAUAUGGGUAAAUGAUUUACAAAAUUACUUAAAAAGUAAUUUUUAAUUACGUUUUAACUGUACAUAAAAAGUACGUAAUUGGCCCACCAUGAGCUGCCAGAUCUGCUUCAACACAACUCGACACGGAAUAUACAAGUCCCUGGAACUGUACUGGAGGGAAAAACACACUCUCCCAUUACGUGUUCGAUUGGGUUGAGAUCAUGUGGCUGUGAAGGCCACAGCAUAUGAUUUACAUGAUUACUCAUCAAACUAGUCACUAAGCCCUUGUGCAUUGUGGAUGAGCGUGUGUCAUCCUGGAAGAGACUACUCUCAUCAGGAUCUAAAGGUUACAUCAUAGGAUAAAGGUGAUCAGCCAGAAUAACUUUGUAAUGAUUUGCAUUGGCCCUUCCAUCCAAGAGGACAAGUGACAACAAAACAGUAUGACAGAGCCACCAUUUUAUUUUCAUUGUCAUCCAUCUGAACAUUAUGACAAUGUUUAUAGGAAACGAGUAAGAGCAGAUAUGUUUAUUGCAGGUUAUAGAAGAUAUUAUACAUUUACAUUAUAAUAACAAUAUUCAAUAAAGUGGAAAUGUAUAUGUAAAAAUUCUAAAUAUGAAUGCUGAUGUCUGUUUGGCUUGGUUUACCUCAGAACUGUGUAGUACUUCUGCCACUUAGUGGCCACUUUCAUUGCUACACUACAAUUAUCAAAGUCUUUUAAGCGGACAAACAGCAUCACAAUCAGAGGUAUCUUACACCUCAUCCCAUUCCCUUUUGUUCAAGGAAGAUCCCUGUGUUAAACUGAAACAAAGUUGCAUUACAGAAAAAUAACAUUUUGUUUCCCAUUAGUUAAUAAAGAUAAAAAAUAUACAGUUAUGCUUUAGUAUUUGAGAUACAAAAUAAUUACACCAAUUUGACAAGCGAUGUAACCAAUAAAUCAGUUAAUAUUAUGUCAACCAAAGCAUAUUCAAGUCUAUAAUAAAUAAAGAAAUCAUUAAGUCACUGUCAAAGUAUACACAGACAUACUGACUUCAACAUGGAGAAAACAUCUGAAGUUAAAAGAUUCUCUGUAUUCUGUCAUUAUGUAGCUUUUUGCUCCUCAAAGUUAUUAAAAUUAUAUAUAUAUAUAUAUUAGCUUAACCUAUACUGUUUGAUUUGUCUGAAGCACAAUCUUAUAAUCCAAAUUUCAGUGCUAAUGACAGACAGAACUUGUAAAAAUUUUAAAAUAAGUUAUAAAACUGAGUUCAUCAACAAAGAAAUCUAAUUUUGACAGAUUGUAAAGGUAGAAAUGAUUCCAUGACAAAUAAUGACAAAAAAGAAGGUGAAAAGGGUACAAUAAAUCAACUCAUCAGCACAUGUGCCAUACAACAACGGAGACAAAUGGAUGAGAUAUGAAUGGAAGUUGCCAAGAGAAAUUUUAAGAAAGUAGUGUCUCUAUGACACAACAAUCCUAUGCUUUACCACAAAAUCAUAAACAAUGUACAUUCCCAUUUGUAUCUUGUGAUAUUUGGUAUCAGUAUAAAUGUAGUCCCACCUUGCAUAUAGCAUGUUUGUAUUAAUAUGUUAUACAUUUCCUGAAAUUUUUUAAAUAUUUUAUUAGCUACAUGUAUUUUUGUUAUUUUGUGUUUUUUGUUUUAGUAACUGAUGAGCCAAACAUUUUUUUUUAAAUAAAAAAAGCACAACGUGCCUGGAAGACCAGAAUAUUUUGCAAUAUAUUACUCCGCAUUAUAUUAGUCAAUAUAUUAUUCUGAAGCUUCAUUACUAAGAAUUUAGUUUCAUUUUACCAAUCAAGUUCUCAUUAAUGUCUUUUACCACUACUGUAAUGCUGCAAUUUCCUUUGGAUCAAUAAAGUUUCUAUCUAUCAUUUAUCUAUCUAUCUUAUCUAUAUGUACGCACACAGACACAUAUAUAUACA
Ictalurus punctatus (channel catfish) is the source of this 2353-nucleotide long non-coding RNA. NCBI's taxonomy places the organism in Eukaryota, Metazoa, Chordata, Actinopteri, Siluriformes, Ictaluridae. The record is from Ensembl.